Molecule: long non-coding RNA, 4273 nt
Organism: Pipistrellus kuhlii (Kuhl's pipistrelle)
Lineage: Eukaryota; Metazoa; Chordata; Mammalia; Chiroptera; Vespertilionidae
Exons: 2
Source: RefSeq, a predicted model, not a curated record
UCUUUGUGGACGGAUUCUCUUGUAGGUCCUAAAAACGUGUAUGCCAUUCAUAAAUCUUCUUUGACUUGAGGUUGUAAAUAUUUAACUGAGGCUCAUAAAUAUGCCCCUUAAGUUCUUUUCCUUUCAAUGUUCUGAUUCUUCUCUAUUUUUCCUAUUUCCCCUAACCCUUCAAAACCCAUAACUUACAUGGAAUUUGCAUAUAUACACAUGCUUUGUAGAUGUAUCUCUUUAUUGUAAGGAGUGCUGAAUCGGAGUCAGGAGGCCUUGAUUCAAAUCAUUGCCACUAACUACAUUUGUCACAGGUCAGGUUGAUUCCUGCCUACGGGGAGUUGCCAAGGAGUGGGGGCUGUGUUCUUCGUGAAAUGCCUACACACUGCCCAAGAAAUCUGGGUUUCCUUUCCAUAGUGUGCCUUCUACAUGCAGCAUUCCAUGACCAAGUGGUGUAACUUGUCUCUCAUCACCCCUUAUUCCUAAAUCUUCUUUCUCAUUUUCCUUCUUUCUUCCUUUUCUCUUGUUAUACUGGAGGGAUUAUCUAGUGGUGGAGCUGGAAUGAUGGAUAUGCCAGGGCAGCUGAAAUGUUAACGCAUUAGGAAUUUCCCAGAUCGUGGGCCAUUCAUUCAAUCAUUACACUUUCAUUAAGCACCUACAGUUUGCCAGGCACUAUGAUAAGUAUGAUUGUUCACCUAAUUUUAACUGUGCUCUUUACCUUAGUGCAUAAACAACAUAGAUCUGUUGUACUCUUUUCUGAAAACACACACACGCAUACAAAGAGAAGAAAUAAUAUAUAGUCCCACUUUCUACAGUUUUACCACUACUGAUAGUUGGAUGUGUAUUUUUGAAGGGUUUUGACUAUAUAAGUAUAUACAUAAAAAAGAAAAAAUAUGAAAAUAUAUUUAUCAUACAUCUUAUUUUAUUAUAAUAUAUAUAUAUAUUAACCUGAUUUUUCACAUAAAUAAUCCAUUUACCUCAUUUUACUUUCUCCUCACUGUUGGCUGACUGGGUUAGAAGAAGUGAUCUUUCACACAGGUGAUAUACAUUCACUGUAGGAUGUACAUAUUAGAAAAACAUUGCUGGAAUCUAAUCCCAUGAACUAGAGGUUCAAAUUCCAUGUUAAGCCAAAAGAACAUGAAGAUGCAAAUGAUGUCCAAAAAAAGUCCUUAUUUUGAGUGAUUUCCUGGAAACUCCCUGGCCUAGUCAGAAUCUGUUUUAUGAAUAAGACGAAAAUUAUAAGACCAAGCAGAUUCCAGAGCGAAAUAUCCAUGUCAAAGUGGUGUUGGCCUAAGAAGACCGUGCAAACCCUUGGGCCUUUAACUAACAAAUCAGUGUUUCGGGUGCAAAAUAUAGAUCUGAAAAAUGUCUGAAAUGCUUUCCUAAAUACGACAGGAGGUAGCCUCAUACUGAAGACUCUCAUCCAACCAGAAUCUAGUGCAUUCUGUUAUUACUUGUAAUUGCAGACAAUGUGCCUAGUGCCAUGUGAAUUACUUUACCUACGUCAUUUGAUUUUAAAAGGGCUGUCCAGUAGAAACUUUUUGCCCUCAUUUCAAUGUAGAGGAAAGUCCAGAACCUAAAGAGGAGGGGAUUUCUCCCAAACCACACAGCUGGAAAACGAAGACUGUGAUGCCAUCCCCUCUCUGACACCCUUAUGAUGUAAUAUCCUGAAGACUGCAAGGCUCUAGUGCAGGAAGCAAGCAACCUCACAGGGUUGAACAUCAUCUAGCGCUAUGAUGACUCUCCGGAAGCCCAGGGGUGUCUGGGACAUGGUGUCAUUCGCUCUAAUGAGACUUGCUGGAACACCUACAGGGGACAAGACAUCUUUAUGUGUUGGCCAUCGUGGAGAAUUUCUGAGAACUGGACACCAGGACGAUGGGGGCUGCUUCUCCCAAUUUAUUUAUUUUUUCUCCAAGAGCUGGUGGGAAAAUUUAUCUCCGGGUAUUACUCAAUCUGUAUUCUGACCCCUCAUAUUCACUCAACUAAUAGCAGCUUAAGGAAUCAUCUUUUCCAGGGAUCAAAAUGUUACAGUAAGAAUAGCUAGCUUUUUUUGACUACUAUUUCCCAAGAACUCUGUUAAGAAUUUUACAUGCAUUUUCACAUUUAACUCUACAAGGAAGAUCCUUUUUUUUUUUUUUUUUUUUUUUUUUUUUUUUUUUUACUUUAAGAUAAAUGAGGCAAGGAGAGCCUAAAUAACUUGCCCAAGAUCACAAAGCUACUGAGUUCUAGAGCUAAGAAAUGCACACAGCUCUGUCUGCUGUCUGAUAGAUUGCCAGAAGGAUUAAAUAAGUUAAUGCAUGGAAAGCGCUUGCCCAAGUAUGUGAUACGGAGAAGGCACUCACUAAAUGUUGGCUAUUAUUAUUGCAUACUCUGUCACCCUCCUUUUUUGGACAAUGGGAUGUGACAGAGAGGACAGUUAAUGAUGCAAGCCUGCUGGUGCCCUCCAGUACCCACUGACUGAUUCCUUUGCCUGCCACUCACCCUACUGGGCACCAACCUAGGGCUCUAAGGGAAGCCAUGACUUAUUCCAGCCAAUGGGAAUUAGCUGUCACUUGACUUAACAUUUUGUAACAGGGCUGGACCCAGGCCAAUUAGGACUCCUGGGGGUCAUGUGUCAUCAGGUCGUAACUCUUGAAGAUCUUUUCUUUCCUAAGGACCUGGAUUCAGCAGCCCCUGGGAAAUAACCCAAAUGCAUUGCAACUGUUGUGUGCUAUAUAAAAACAUGUUGGAGAUGGAGUUGGUCCAGGAGGGAUAAGGAGAAAGAACGCAAUGUGGUUGGGGACCGCAGGACCAAGGAUCUUGGCUUAGCAAAUCAAUUAAUGAACCUUGUCUCUUGAGAAAUGCUAACCUUUGUGACAUUGGCAUUCAUGGGACCUUGGUAUGGCCCUGCCAUGGCCCAGGGAUUCGGGGUCAGACAGUUUAGAGACUUUUAUAAGUAGGAUUUAAUUCAGUUUGUAAAACUAGCCUAUGGGGUGUCUGUUAUUUCAUAAAUGAGGAAACUGAGGCUCGUGGUGUCCAUUUUGAGAUGGUUUGAGCCUACUUUCCCCCUCUUCUCUCUCCAAGAUGGGAGGUGUCUGAUAACCAUUUCUAGUCUUUUGUGUCCAAACAGAACCUUUGAUUUCUGUUCCCAAAACCUCCCGAAGCUUGUUCUUCACCCAACCUCCAUGUUUCAUUGACGGACACUCUUAUGUAUCCAGUUCCUUAAGCCAAAACCUAGGGAUCUUCCUGGAUUUCACACAUCCCCUUGGGCCCCACAGCUCCUCUUCAUGGAGACCUCUUACCUCGAUCUUGGAAACAUUUUCCACAUCCUUGUGCUUUGCUCCAAAUCAUCCGCCUUGACCACUCUAUUACCUUCCCGACUGGUUUUCAUCUUCCUUUGUCCCCCUCCAAUCUCCUCUCUGCAAAGUUACCAAGUAGAUAUUUUCCCCAGUAAAAAUCCGCUCCUUCUCUAACCUGCUUAACAUCCUCAUAUACGACGCUUGAAGUAAAAUCUGUAUUCCUUGCACCAAGCCUGUGGCAUUCCUCCAGAUCUGGUCCCUGAGUCCAUUCUGGAUAUCCUCUCCUAACUUCAAGCCACACUGGGUUCUUCAUGUUUCUCUAACGCCCCAACUUUUCAUCAUUGAUGGGGGUUUUGCUCUAGCUAGUCUCCCCUCCCCCCCCCCCCCCCCCCCCCGACUGGCUCCCUUUGGCCUCAGAUCUUUACACUGGGGCUCCUUCUUAGGGUUCCUUCUCAACCCAAGCACAGCUUUCUCAUGGCUAACCCUGUCCACCCCACUUAGGGUAAAUCCUCCCCCUGAAUCCCUCUCUUUCAUGUCACUCUGCUUCUAUUUGCCCAAGUGUGUGUCUCUGUCUGGUAUUACCUUAUUGAUUUGGUUUUGUGUUUAUUGCCCAUCUCUUCCAACUAGAAAGAAUGUGGAAUCCACGGAGCAAGAAUUGUGGCUCUUGGUAUUCACUGCCAUGUCUACAUUGCUGAGCCAAUGGAGUGUUUGUUGGUUGAAUAAAUGACUACCAUUCUAAGGCUGUGAUGGUUGUUUUGGGUCAGAACUAAUUCUAGAGGGGUUGCAUGAGGAAGAGAAUUCAAAUCGGUGUAUACAUGUGGCCCCAAAUAUUGUUCCAAAUCCAAGUAGCAUUUACAAAUGUUUUUAUUACUUUGGGUGAAUUUUGGAAGAAACCAAAAUAAAAAGACAGAAGCUGUUUUCCCUCCGUGUUUCGAUCUCGGUCUUGUAAACCUUGGUCCACAUUACAAAAACAAAACACAACUUGAAAACAAGACCUUCUAAACAAG